RNAcentral lists this microRNA (23 nucleotides) under Caenorhabditis brenneri. RNAcentral's name for it is "cbn-miR-239c". Its record names the gene cbn-miR-239c. The record is from miRBase by way of RNAcentral. Lineage: Eukaryota; Metazoa; Nematoda; Chromadorea; Rhabditida; Rhabditidae.
UUUGUACUAAACAUAGGUACUGA